CCGAAGGCAGCGGCUUAACCCACUGAGCCACCCAGAAUUGACCACAGCCCCCCCAACUUCCAGCAACCACUGUCCCGCACAGUCGGCAGCCACCACCAUCGAGUCCAGACCCUCCACCAGCAGAAAGAUUACAAUUCACGGACAAGUGUGCUGAGCCGAGUGUUGUGAACUUGAACGUCACUGACAUCCUUUUCUGAUGUCUUCCUGCUUUGUAGAAGAGAAGUUGGUAGCUACACUUCCCAGAAUCCUCUCUGCAUGGUUCCAAGAGAGAUCAUCUGGUGAGAGGCUCUUAUGUGAGGACGUGGGAAGACAGAGACAAUUAUUCUCCACAGGCAGAAGUGAACAGAUGCACGGAGAAGUAUAAAGUUCAAACAUCUUCCAGACACCCUUUUUGACAACUGUCUAUAUUGUGCUAUAGGCUGAAAUAGUUGGCGGGAGCACCUUAUAGACUCAUGGGUUUUGUAAUUUCCCCAGUGGGCUCUUGAGGACAUGAACAAUGGCUUGCUUGAUCUUUGCUUCCCCAGUGGCUGUGUAUGCCUUACUUCCCUGUCUUAAAACUCUUAAUACUCAGGAUACACAGAGUAGCUUCUAUUUUCUGCAUAAACUGCUGACUGCUACAGUAAGAAAUUAUUAAAUAACUUGAUACACAAUGAGGAAAACAGGACAGACAGAAGUAUACUGUGUUAUAGGAAUAUCUAUGAAGGGAAACAAAUCUCAGAUUGGGGGGAGGGCAUGGGAGAAGUGGUCUCCCUGAGUGGUCUCCAAACCGAGGCUUGAAGGAUAAAAGGGGGUUAGGUAGCCUAAAGGCAUGGAGUGGAGGAGAUGGGGGCUGUCUUCAAUUUGUGCAAAGACCCAGAGGCCAGAGGGGAGUUCAGGGAGGGUUUUGGUAGGUACCCCAUUGAGGGGGAAAGGUGGGUGGUGAGCCGUAACAGCAAUGGGGAGAUACUGCAGACUUUCAAAUAGUCAAGUGACCUGAUCAGGUUUAGGGUUUCAAACAAUUGCUCUGGCUAUAGGAUUAAGAAUGGAUUUCAAGAGAGCAAGACUGAAUGCAGGGACACCAAGUAGGAAGCUAUUGAGAUUUCCCCAGCCUGGACUUGGCCAUUGGCAGUGGGGCUGGAGAGAAGAUAUCAGAUACAAGAAAUUGUUCAGUGUAUGACUGGUGGAAAGCUUAGAGAAUGGAGGAAGUCAAGGAUGACUCAUCUUACACAUAGGGAGAGUGAAGCUCAGAGUGGUCAUGCAGCUCACCUAAGGUCACACAGCUCGGAAGCAGCGGAGUCAGGUGCAAGUCUCAAUUAGUCUAACUCUGGAGCCUUGGCUUUUAACUCUAAGUUCUCUAGCAUACAUAUCAGAACAUAGUCAUGGGUGUUCAAUUUUAAAAAAUCAUUAUCAUUUCCUAGUAGCUUUAACUCAUUUGCAUCGGUUUUUUUCCUCUCCAUUUGUGUGAAUGUUGUUGUAAUUAAAGGAAAAGGAAGGGUUAAAUAAGAUUUAGUCCCCUUACUAGAAUUUUGGUUUCAGUUUAAAGUAAAACCAAAAGGCAUUUCUGUUUUACUUCUUGAAGUACAUAAUCUGUAAUUCUGGAAGUUUUAGAGGCUAAAAGCUAUGACCAGCUGUCGUAUUUUGUUUGCCAAAUGACUAAGAUGAUGUGUAAGGUUGGGGAAGUUAUAAAAUAAUUAUCACAUAUUGCUCCCAAACACCUACUCUUCUAUUAUAUUUUAGAUGUUUUAAACGAGUCUGAAACAGUCGGAAACAAAUACUGACUUGUCCAUGAUUCUAACUCCCUUCUGUUCACUGCUGUCUCAAGCCUCUGUCUCUAGAACAAACCUCUUUGCUGAGUUCUAGACACCAGAAGCCAUCCCUAGACAAAUGACUCAGGCUCCCCAGACUUUCUAUGCUUCAACAAUCUCACCUCCCCACCCCGCAUUUUGUCCUGAAAUCCGCAUCAACCAAGUCAACAAAACCAGCACUUAGAAGUUGUUCUCGAUUCCUUUCUCCCCGAUUCCUCACACCAGCUCAACCACGAAAACCUAAUGACUCUACCUCUUCAGGAUCUUUGUUUUUUUCCUCUCCACUUCCACUGUUACUGCCUUAGCACAGGCGAGUGUUUCCAAAUGUCUGACACAAUACAUUUUGUGAUGUAGAAAUCAGAAAUCAGAAUUUCUGAAUUUCCAUAACACCUUACUUAAGUGUCUUUAAAUAAUAAAGAUUGACCACCAUAAUAAA
Molecule: long non-coding RNA, 2220 nt
Organism: Neogale vison (American mink)
Lineage: Eukaryota; Metazoa; Chordata; Mammalia; Carnivora; Mustelidae
Exons: 3
Source: RefSeq, a predicted model, not a curated record